GAAACAAGUCGGGCCUCCUUGUGAUCACAACAUCUGCAAGAACUACUCCCACUACCAACCCACUUCCACAUCCGGCCGAAACAAUUUUCCAAUCAAAUUCAAAUAUGCCUUCUGAGCUAGAAUCACCUUCGUCGACGGUUGAAGGUGGAAGUUGAGGGGCCUUAGGAUUUCCACAUUUCUUUGGCAAUGGAUCUCCACACAACCCUGGGUUUCCCUCGUAUGAAGUGAAUUUCAAGGAAGUAAGUUGGGUUCCAAGGGAUGAUGUGAUAGAACCAGUGAGAAUGUUGUGGUAUAGAAUCAGUUUCACCCAAGGAAGGAAAAGUGGAGGUUGGUCUGAAAUGAAGUUUUGAGAAAUGGCCAACAAUACCAAAGUUUCUAUGGUUGUGUUCCACAUCCAUUUUGGUACUUGGCCUCGGAUUUUGUUUCUAGAAAGGUCCAAACGCUCCAAACUUUUCUAAUAUUGUAAGAAAGAUGGAAACUCUGUUAGGUUGCAAAAACUCAAUCCAAGAAUGGUGAACUGUGGAACUGUUGAAUUCACAAUUUAAUUGGAGUUGGUAAAGAAAUUGUAGAUUUUGAAACAUUUGAAACUCUACUACACCACACUCAGACUAUUCGAAUGUAGAUAAAGGAUCUGAAGGUUUGUGAGAUUUGAAAAAGAUGUGAGGUUUGCCAAGGAAUCAGGAAUCGGACCUCCAAAUCUGUUGAGUGAAAUGUCUAGAUCAGUGAGCUUCCUAAGAUUCCCAAGUGAAGAUGGAACCAACCCUUCCGAAAAAUUGCAUUGAGCCACAUCCAACUCUUGCAGUGAAUCAAGGUUUCUAAACGAAGAGGGUAUGUUCCCGAAAAACCUAGUAAAGGAAACUUUCAGAAGCAUGAGAGGACUACUUCGAUUAAAUUCAGGAAAAUAUCCAGUCAGAUCUUGGUUGUAUCUCACACUAAGAAUUUCUAGGUUUGGUAGUUGGAAAAUUCUCACAGGAAAUUCACCAAACAGGUGACAUCCCACGAUGGCUAGGGCAUUCAAAGAUGAUAAGUUAGCCAUUGAAUAAGGAAUUGCCGAAGAUAUGUUUACCAAACUGAGGGAAAGUACUUCGAGACUAGUUAAGUUUUGAACUAGGCUUCCAAACUGAGGUAGUAGGAAUUUGAGAGUAAUUGAAGUUAUUGUCAGAGAGGUUUAACCUUUGACAUCACUUUCAUCUCCAUUUUGUUUGUUAAAAGAUACGAACAAACGUUGACAUAACUUAAAACAAUACGAUGUAUAGGGCAUGGUCUUGACCUUGAACAACCAAUCAACUAGAAGCUAAAAAGCAGAAAUACAUUCUUUCUUUCUUUUUAAAAAAACCUCGACGGUACGAGGGAAAAUUUUAUUGAAUAAAAAAAAAGUUACACCUAAUCAGGAGGACAUAAACUUUACCCCUCAAAAUAAAGAGACAAUGAAGAAAAGAAAGCGAAAAUACAAGAAAGUAGGGGACAUACACUUACAUAACGGGAAACAAACUUAUAACUAAACGUAUAGGAAGAGAAGGAAAAAAACCACAACAAAGAAAAUAAACGACAACAACAAAUGCAUAACAUUGUAACGUACCCAAUUUCUAAGCCCCCCACUAGUACUCUAAAUUUUCCUUAUCAUUUGUCUGAUCAUUCCAACAAUCUUAAGAAACAAAUCGGGCCUCCUUGUAAUCACAACAUCUGCAAGAAUUACUCCCACUACAAACCCACUUCCACAUCCGGCCGAAACAAUUUUCCAAUCAAAUUCAAAUAUUCCUGCUGAGCUAGAAUCACCUUCGUCUACAAUUGAAGGUGGAAGUUGAGGGGCCUUAGGAUUUCCACAUUUCUUUGGCAAUGGAUCUCCACACAACCCUAGGUUUCCCUCGUAUGAAGU
This 1876-nucleotide long non-coding RNA is filed under the name Malus domestica (apple). RNAcentral describes it as "long non-coding RNA (MDOM_LNC006709)". The record is from RNAcentral. Lineage: Eukaryota; Viridiplantae; Streptophyta; Magnoliopsida; Rosales; Rosaceae.